RNAcentral lists this ribosomal RNA (514 nucleotides) under uncultured soil bacterium. RNAcentral describes it as "bacterial SSU rRNA". It matches the Rfam family "Bacterial small subunit ribosomal RNA", at positions 26 to 524 of the family's 1533-position model. The record is from RNAcentral.
AGAAUCAACGCUGGCGGCGUGCCUAACACAUGCAAGUCGAACGCGACUGGGGACUUCGGUUCCCAGUUGAGUGGCGAACGGGUGAGUAACACGUGGGUGAUCUACCUUCGAGUGGGGGAUAACGUCCCGAAAGGGACGCUAAUACCGCAUGACGUUCUGGGUUUGAAGACCUGGAAACCAAAGCCGGGGACCGCAAGGCCUGGCGCUUAAAGAGGAGCCCGCGUCCGAUUAGCUAGUUGGUAGGGUAAUGGCCUACCAAGGCGACGAUCGAUAGCCGGCCUGAGAGGGUGAUCGGCCACACUGGAACUGAGACACGGUCCAGACUCCUACGGGAGGCAGCAGUGGGAAUUUGCGCAAUGGGCUAACGCCUGACGCAGCAACGCCGCGUGGAGGAUGAAGGUCUUUGGAUUGUAAACUCCUGUCAGCAGGAAAAGGACACGACCUCAUACGUCGUGAACUUGAUUGUACCUGACAGAGGAAGCCCGGCUAACUCUGUGCCAGCAGCCGCGGUAAC